This 246-nucleotide ribosomal RNA is filed under the name uncultured bacterium. RNAcentral describes it as "partial 16S ribosomal RNA". It matches the Rfam family "Bacterial small subunit ribosomal RNA", at positions 15 to 244 of the family's 1533-position model. The record is from RNAcentral.
GAUCAUGGCUCAGGAUGAACGCUGGCGGCGUGCUUAACACAUGCAAGUCGAACGGGAAACUUUUCAUUGAAGCUUCGGCAGAUUUGAUCUGUUUCUAGUGGCGGACGGGUGAGUAACGCGUGGGUAACCUGCCUUAUACAGGGGGAUAACAACCAGAAAUGGUUGCUAAUACCGCAUAAGCGCACAGGACCGCAUGGUCCGGUGUGAAAAACUCCGGUGGUAUAAGAUGGACCCGCGUUGGAUUAG